RNAcentral lists this ribosomal RNA (245 nucleotides) under uncultured bacterium. Its description in RNAcentral is "partial 16S ribosomal RNA". It matches the Rfam family "Bacterial small subunit ribosomal RNA", at positions 524 to 768 of the family's 1533-position model. The record is from RNAcentral.
UACGAAGGGGACUAGCGUUGUUCGGAAUUACUGGGCGUAAAGCGCACGUAGGCUGGGUGGCCAGUCAGAGGUGAAAUCCCGGAGCUCAACUUCGGAACUGCCUUUGAUACAGCCACCCUCGAGUCCGGAAGAGGUGAGUGGAAUUCCUAGUGUAGAGGUGAAAUUCGUAGAUAUUAGGAAGAACACCAGUGGCGAAGGCGGCUCACUGGUCCGGUACUGACGCUGAGGUGCGAAAGCGUGGGGAG